AACUAUGUGCCAGCAGCUGCGGUAAUACAUAGGUCGCGAGCGUUAUUCGGAUUUAUUGGGCGUAAAGAAAGCGCAGGCGGAUAGAUAAGUUCUGUGUUAAAAGCAGCUGCUCAACGGCUGUUUGCGCCGAAUACUAUCUAUCUAGAAUACGGUAGAAAGUUUUGGAAUUGAAUAUGGAGCGGUGGAAUGUGUAGAUAUAUUCAAGAACACCAGAGGCGAAGGCGAAAACUUAGACCGCUAUUGACGCUUAGGCUUGAAAGUGUGGGGAGCAAAUGGGAUUAGAUACCCCAGUAGUCCACACCGUAAACGAUGGAUAUUAGAUGUUGGGGCUUGUGCCUCAGCGUUGUAGCUUACGUGUUAAAUAUCCCGCCUGGGUAGUACAUAUGCAAAUAUGAAACUCAAAGGAAUUGACGGGGACCUGAACAAGUGGUGGAACAUGUUGCUUAAUUCGAUAAUACACGAAAAACCUUACCAAGAUUUGACAUCCCCCGCAAAGCCCUAGAGAUAGGGUGGAGGAUAUCGGGGUGACAGGUGGUGCAUGGUUGUCGUCAGCUCGUGUCAUGAGAUGUUUGGUUAAGUCCCGCAACGAGCGCAACCCUACUCUCUAGUUGUCUGUUUAGAGAGACUGAACAGUAAUGUAUAGGAAGGUUGGGAUCACGUCAAAUCAUCAUGCCCCUUAUGUCUUGGGCCGCAAACGUGUUACAAUGGCGAGUACAGCGUGUCGCAAAUCAGCGAUGGUAAGCUAAUCACUAAAAACUCGUCUCAGUCCGGAUAAAAGGCUGCAAUUCGCCUUUUUGAAGUUGGAAUCACUAGUAAUCCCGUGUCAGCUAUAUCGGGGUGAAUACGUUCCCAGGUCUUGUACAC
RNAcentral lists this ribosomal RNA (864 nucleotides) under uncultured Mycoplasma sp. RNAcentral's name for it is "bacterial SSU rRNA". It matches the Rfam family "Bacterial small subunit ribosomal RNA", at positions 499 to 1388 of the family's 1533-position model. Lineage: Bacteria; Bacillati; Mycoplasmatota; Mollicutes; Mycoplasmatales; Mycoplasmataceae. The record is from RNAcentral.